Molecule: long non-coding RNA, 400 nt
Filed under: Mustela putorius furo (domestic ferret)
Lineage: Eukaryota; Metazoa; Chordata; Mammalia; Carnivora; Mustelidae
Description: lncRNA (ENSMPUG00000025535.1)
Source: RNAcentral
UCUGCCUUUCUAUUCUCAUCUUGUUGCACUCUUUCUCUCUCUCUCUCUUUUUUUUAAGUUUUAUUUAUUUAUUUGACAGAGAGAAGGGGAAAGCACACGCAGGGAGAGCAGCAGGCAGAGUGAGAAGCAGGCUCCCUGCUGAGCAAGGAGCCUGAUGCAGGACUCAAUCCCAGGACCCUGCAUGGGAUCGUGACCUGAACUGAAGACAGACACUUCACCAACUGAGCCUCCAGGAAUUUUACAUCACCACAGAAUUCUGGAGUUGAAAAGACUCAAAAAUUUGGGUUAUGCAUUGCCUAACUUUAAGAGAGGAGCUAUGAAACCACUCCAUUUAGGUGAGAAUGGCUUUUCUUCUAAAUAUUCUCUAUUUCUGUCCAGAAUAGAGAAUGAUCAGGUGUUA